Molecule: ribosomal RNA, 429 nt
Filed under: Bacillota bacterium
Lineage: Bacteria; Bacillati; Bacillota
Description: Firmicutes bacterium partial 16S ribosomal RNA
Rfam family: Bacterial small subunit ribosomal RNA
Source: RNAcentral
UAGGGAAUCUUCGGCAAUGGACGGAAGUCUGACCGAGCAACGCCGCGUGAGUGAAGAAGGUUUUCGGAUCGUAAAGCUCUGUUGUUAGAGAAGAACGUUGGUAGGAGUGGAAAAUCUACCAAGUGACGGUAACUAACCAGAAAGGGACGGCUAACUACGUGCCAGCAGCCGCGGUAAUACGUAGUUCCCGAGCGUUGUCCGGAUUUAUUGGGCGUAAAGCGAGCGCAGGCGGUUCUUUAAGUCUGAAGUUAAAGGCAGUGGCUUAACCAUUGUAAGCUUUGGAAACUGGAGGAAUUGAGUGCAGAAGGGGAGAGUGGAAUUCCAUGUGUAGCGGUGAAAUGCGUAGAUAUAUGGAGGAACACCGGUGGCGAAAGCGGCUAUCGGGUCUGUAACUGACGAUGAGGCUCGAAAGCGUGGGGAGCAAACAGG